RNAcentral lists this ribosomal RNA (301 nucleotides) under uncultured bacterium. RNAcentral's name for it is "partial 16S ribosomal RNA". It matches the Rfam family "Bacterial small subunit ribosomal RNA", at positions 512 to 808 of the family's 1533-position model. The record is from RNAcentral.
CAUCGCCGCGGUAAUACGGAGGGGGCUAGCGUUGUUCGGAAUUACUGGGCGUAAAGCGCACGUAGGCGGCUUUGUAAGUUAGAGGUGAAAGCCUGGGGCUCAACUCCAGAAUUGCCUUUAAGACUGCAUCGCUUGAACGUCGGAGAGGUGAGUGGAAUUCCGAGUGUAGAGGUGAAAUUCGUAGAUAUUCGGAAGAACACCAGUGGCGAAGGCGGCUCACUGGACGACUGUUGACGCUGAGGUGCGAAAGCGUGGGGAGCAAACAGGAUUAGAUACCCCUGUAGUCCCUGUCUCUUAUACA